UACGUAGGGGGCAAGCGUUGUCCGGAUUUACUGGGCGUAAAGAGCGUGUAGGCGGCCAAACAGGUCCGUUGUGAAAACUGGAGGCUCAACCUCCAGACGUCGACGGAAACCGUGUGGCUAGAGUCCGGAAGAGGAGAGUGGAAUUCCUGGUGUAGCGGUGAAAUGCGCAGAUAUCGGGAGGAACACCUGUGGCGAAAGCGGCUCACUGGACCAUAACUGACGCUGAUGCACGAAAGCUGGGGGAGCAAACAGG
RNAcentral lists this ribosomal RNA (253 nucleotides) under uncultured bacterium. RNAcentral describes it as "partial 16S ribosomal RNA". It matches the Rfam family "Bacterial small subunit ribosomal RNA", at positions 524 to 776 of the family's 1533-position model. The record is from RNAcentral.